CGGCCGCAGAGUUUGAUCAUGGCUCAGGAUGAACGCUGGCGGCGUGUCUAAGGCAUGCAAGUCGAACGAUUUUUGUAGCAAUACAAAAGUAGUGGCAAACGGGAGAGUAAUACAUUCAUAAUCUGCCUCAAAGACGAGAAUAACUUACCGAAAGGUUAGCUAAUACUCGAUGUGCUCGAUGUUCACAAGAAUGUCGAGUAAAGCUUUUGCGCUUUGAGUUGAGUGAAUGGCCUAUCAGCUAGUUGGCAGUGUAAAAGACUACCGAGGCGAUGACGGGUCGGGGGUGUGAGAGCACGACCCCCCUCACUGGGACUGAGACACGGCCCAGACUCCUACGGGAGGCAGCAGUGGGGAAUAUUGGACAAUGGGCGCAAGCCUGAUCCAGCCAUGCCGCGUGGGUGAUGAAGGCCCUAGGGUUGUAAAGCCCUUUCGGCGGGGAAGAUAAUGACGGUACCCGCAGAAGAAGC
This 467-nucleotide ribosomal RNA is filed under the name uncultured Alphaproteobacteria bacterium. RNAcentral describes it as "bacterial SSU rRNA". It matches the Rfam family "Bacterial small subunit ribosomal RNA", at positions 1 to 491 of the family's 1533-position model. The record is from RNAcentral. Lineage: Bacteria; Pseudomonadati; Pseudomonadota; Alphaproteobacteria.